Molecule: small nucleolar RNA, 107 nt
Organism: Gossypium arboreum
Lineage: Eukaryota; Viridiplantae; Streptophyta; Magnoliopsida; Malvales; Malvaceae
Rfam family: Plant small nucleolar RNA R71
About the family: R71 is a member of the C/D box family of snoRNAs containing the C (UGAUGA) and D (CUGA) box motifs. Multiple nearly identical copies of this snoRNA have been identified in Arabidopsis, and it is thought to function as a 2'-O-ribose methylation guide for 18S ribosomal RNA.
Source: Rfam
AAACCAUGAUGAGGGCACAUUCUUAAAAGAUCCUUAAAUCUCUCUUAUGUAUCAUAAACCGUCUCAAACUCAGAUUGGGUAAAAGAAGAGAUAUCAUUCCCCUACUU